Molecule: RNA transcript, 3600 nt
Organism: Amphibalanus amphitrite
Lineage: Eukaryota; Metazoa; Arthropoda; Thecostraca; Balanomorpha; Balanidae
Gene name: transcription factor Adf-1-like
Exons: 6
Source: RefSeq, a predicted model, not a curated record
AUUCAACAAAAACGUGCUGAUAAAACUUGCUCUGUUUAUCAUUAACGACGAGCCUUUGUAUUUUUUUCAUAAUUUUGUCUAAAAGAAAAUAAAAAAUGCGUUAUUUAGUUGUAUAAUUCAUUUAUAAGAAAUAUUCUUUUUCUUUGUAUCUAGCCACGAUUUCCGGUUCCCGCCAUUUCGCGCCGGCGUCGUGGGUGUGUGGAUGCAACGUAGUGCUCCCGGUUUUAUUUUGUCUAAGCGACCUUUUCUGACGUGUCAACCAAGGAUCAAACACUGGUCGUUGCGGGGAUCGGCUUCAGAGGGCCAAGGAUGGCGUCUUGAAUCGCUGUUUAGUCGACAGGCAACUGUAUGACGCCAUCCCUGUCAACCAGAGCGUCGACUGAAGUAGGGCGGCGUUGCGCGGACCUGGCCGCACCCGACCAACCGGCGGAGUACCUGACUCGGGCUGGGCGGAGACUACCUACAUCACGACCUUUUGAACUUUGAUCUCGUGGCGAGAAACAAUAUGACGUAAGGAAGUGUGUAUGUGGCUGGCGGGGCCGAGGGUGAAAUGCGCCACGUGUUUAUCCUGCCGGAUGACGACAGCGUCACCAACCUGUCAAAGAACGAGCUGGUGCAGCGCGUGAUGACUGCUAUCUCGUCCCUAGAACCGGAGUAGAAAAACGUGCGCAUAGCCCAGAUGAAGCGAACCAAAACACAGACAGGACUGAUAGCUUUUCGGUCGAGAAUGUUCUGAAGAUGCUGAUCAGUAGACCAAUUGGUGACCGUUUUCGGUGGUAAUAUGGGAUCUUGUGGUGUUCCAAAGCGACCUGCUUUGGGUGUGGACAUAAGUGGCUCAACCUGACAGGAUUGAUGUUUUAGGUAGCCGUGCUAAUCAUAAACCCUAUAUUGAGUGUAUCUGUACAAAUUUUGUUUAUAUUUAUUUCAUGUAUUUGAUUCGAAACCGAAAAUUGCUGUUUGUAAUUAGGCAACAUCGAGACGUUGAGGUCAUUCUCCAGACGUUUAUUUGUUUUUUUCUCACCUGUCCGCGGUAUGUCUUAUUGGUUAGGUCUCAGUUUCAAAUAUUAUUAACUGCAUGUUUUGCAAAUACGUAGCCAUAUUGAAUAAGAGACGUGUCCUAAAAGUGAGUAUUGCUUUGCAUGGGAUGUGAGCAUCAACGACAGGGCUUUGUGAUGGCAAAUAUGUGGCAAUUGCAGGGAUCGUUGUGAAAUGUGUUAUGAAUAUCAUCGUAUUAUUUGCGAAUGCAAAUACAUCCGUGUAUCAUAUUUUCAUUCAAAUUGUGCAAUUUGUGCAACGGGCUUGAGUAUAUUGUUCGGCGAAAUAUCUCCUACUGUACUCCACAGAAAUGGGACGGGAUACAGAUGCGUAGAAACACAUUCAUGAACACGUGAAAGACGAUAAGUUAACUUUUUUUUACUCAAAAUCAAUGCUACAAAGCAGGGAUGUGGAGCCGUGAAAAUGUCAGACGGCUUCGGCUCCGGAGGAAAAAAUCGGCUCCAGCUCCGGCUCCGGCUCCGAGUAAAAUGGUCGGGCUUCGGUUCCGGCUCCGACUCAGUACAACCCCUAUACAAAGGUCAGCACGGCUCCCUUCACGCAUUCCCUCGAAGGCUUGCAGCUUUGAGCAGGGAGCCAGGGUGAGUGCUGAAAAUCCCUGGUCUACCGUGGGAAUAAGGUCUAGAAAAAAAUUACACGAUCCUGUGCUGAUAAUAUCUUAAUGAAUUUAUUGAAUUUGCAUUAUUUGCACACAAGAAACAUCCCAUAAAUCAAUUUAAAGGGUGAAGUACGUCUGCAGAAAGUCAGUUCGCAGAAUCAAUAUAUUGAUAAACCAGCUGAUUUCAGAAUCAAAAUAAUGAUUAGCCAGCUGUUUGCAGAAUCAAAAUAUUGAUUCUCGCCGGGAUUAGCCGCCGUGAUGAAUCAAUAUCUUGAUUAUUUUCAAGACACUUUCCAAAACUAACCAAAGAGGUUAGGGCUAUUGUUUCGUGCCUGGUGGGCAGCUUCAACGUUGCUCUUCAUUUUGUGAAGAAACUAUCUUGAAAUUGUAGCCGGUUGCUGAAGAAUUGACGUUUCUGUGAUGGUCUGCACGUAUGCCCAUAUAUGGUCAAAGCUCCGCCCACUAGAAUCAAUAUUUUGAUGCCUCCAUAUUUUGAUUCCCGCCGCCUAGUUUGCCCAACUGAACUCAAACUGCUGCACAUGCUACAAAAUGACCAUUUUUUGCUACACGAUUAAAUCUCUACAAGUGACACCACCUUAGUUGAAGCCGUGAGACGUCAUGACGUGCUUUGGCGUCCUCAGGACAGCAACUACUUUAACAGAAAUAAGAAGAAGCUAGCAUGGGAGGAGGUGGCAAAGACCACUGGGAGAUCAGUUCAGGAUGCAAAAUCGAAAUGGAAAAGUCUGCGUGACUACCACCUACGCAAACGCAGGCAAUUGCCAAGUGGCUCUGGCUGCCCGCCACCAGAGAACUCCUCCUGGCAAAAGGAAAUGUCAUUUUUGGAUGAUGCCAUCAAGCCUAAACCCUUUGUGUGUCUGAUGAGGACAGCAGCGAGACUCAACUACCAGACGACAGUGCUGCAGCGAGCUGUGCCUCAGGAGUCCUCCCAGCUGCGACGCUCCUCGGAACGCCUCGGGUGUCCGCGGUGCCACCAGCAGCGAGCUGUGUCGCCGGCCCGAGCCAUCCGCGCUCUUCUGGCACCAACGGCCAAGUCAAGCAGGUCAGGGGGCCGGGUGCUCGUGGCGCCGAGAAGCUUGACGCCGCCAUAGCGUCCAUAGAACGCGCGGUGAGCGACCUCCGUAACCCGGACCUACUAUUUGGUCAGCUGGUGGGGUUGGAGAUGGAGCGUGUGAGGGACGACAAGAAAGCGGAUGCGAGACUGGAGAUUCUUACAGUCUUGAAAAGGGCGCAGUCCGAUUAAAAGCAGGUGAUAACCUUCGCACGGGUGGGGGAGGGGGGACGUUUUUCACACAUAUUUGAUAAAAAAUGACCAGAAUGAUUCAAAACGAUCUUAUAGCCAGACAUGUGCAUGGAUCCGAGAGGUGGAUCUAUGAUCUGAGCGGAUCUCUCGAGCUUAUGGGUAAGAUCUAUGAUCUGAGUGGAUCUCUCGACACAGUUGAGGGGUUGGAUCUAUGAUCUGAGUGGAUCUCUCGACAAAGUUGAGGGGUUGGAUCUAUGAUCCGGGUGGAUCCCAGAUCUAGAUUCAUGGGAUCGAAUUUCAGAUCCAUUUUCCCGGAUCCAUGCACAUGUCUGCUUAUAGCGAGCUAUAUAAUGCCUGUUCGGCGUCUUUCCAGCUUCCUUUGAUUCUGAGAUAAUGUGAUGCGGCCAAAUGCGUCCCCUCUCCAUGCAACCUCCACCAUGGCGAACUUUGCUGAGCCUGAGUCAUAUUCUGCGUAGUGUGUAUUUCCGCUGUCUGAUCGCUAUAGCGACCCUUUUUCAAGUUUUGAUUUAGGAGUGAAUUCGUUUACCUGGUGUUUAAAUGUUUGAGCUCCUUUGCUGUGAAGUUGAAGUUGGACGUUACGUGGUUAUCUGACUUUGGUUGUUGGAAAGGGCGACAGUUAAUGUUAUUUAUUUCCACUACUUUCGCGUGCAAUAAACGACAAAGGCCG